RNAcentral lists this unclassified non-coding RNA (344 nucleotides) under soil metagenome. RNAcentral describes it as "partial contains 5.8S ribosomal RNA, internal transcribed spacer 2, and large subunit ribosomal RNA". The stretch from base 1 to 120 matches the Rfam family "5.8S ribosomal RNA", at positions 35 to 154 of the family's 154-position model. The record is from RNAcentral.
GAUGAAGAACGCAGCGAAAUGCGAUAAGUAAUGUGAAUUGCAGAAUUCAGUGAAUCAUCGAAUCUUUGAACGCACAUUGCGCCCGCCAGUAUUCUGGCGGGCAUGCCUGUUCGAGUGUCAUUUCAACCCUCAAGCCCCCGGGCUUGGUGUUGGGGAUCGGCGUGCCCUCGCGGCGCGCCGUCCCCUAAAUCUAGUGGCGGUCUCGCUGUAGCUUCCUCUGCGUAGUAGCAACACUCGCACUGGAUCGCAGCGCGGCCACGCCGUUAAACCCCCCACUUCUGAAAGUUUGACCUCGGAUCAGGUAGGAAUACCCGCUGAACUUAAGCAUAUCAAUAAGCGGAGGA